GGAUGAAGAACGUAGCGAAAUGCGAUAAGUAAUGUGAAUUGCAGAAUUCAGUGAAUCAUCGAAUCUUUGAACGCACCUUGCGCCCUUUGGCCAUUCCGAAGGGCAUGCCUGUUUGAGUAUCAUGAACACCUCAACUCUCAUGGCUUGCCAUGAUGAGCUUGGACUUUGGGGGUCUUGCUGGCCUGUGGUCGGCUCCUCUCAAAUGAAUCAGCUUGCCAGUGUUUGGUGGCAUCACAAGUGUGAUAACUAUCUGCGCUCGUGGUUUCCAUCAGAUAACCUCCAGUGAUGGAGGUUCGCUGGAGCUCAUAAAUGUCUCUCCUAAGCGAGGACAGCUCUUUUAAUGUUUGAUCUCAAAUCAGGUAGGACUACCCGCUGAACUUAAGCAUAUCAAUAAGCGGAGGA
RNAcentral lists this unclassified non-coding RNA (402 nucleotides) under soil metagenome. RNAcentral's name for it is "partial contains 5.8S ribosomal RNA, internal transcribed spacer 2, and large subunit ribosomal RNA". The stretch from base 2 to 122 matches the Rfam family "5.8S ribosomal RNA", at positions 35 to 154 of the family's 154-position model. The record is from RNAcentral.